UACGUAGGGGGCAAGCGUUGUCCGGAGUCAUUGGGCGUAAAGCGCGUGUAGGCGGCCAGGUAAGUCCGUUCUGAAAGCCCGGGGCUCAACCCCGGGAGGCGGAUGGAUACUGCUUGGCUCGAGUCCGGAAGAGGCGAGUGGAAUUCCCGGUGUAGCGGUGAAAUGCGCAGAUAUCGGGAGGAACACCAAUGGCGAAGGCAGCUCGCUGGGACGGUACUGACGCUGAGACGCGAAAGCGUGGGGAGCAAACAGG
RNAcentral lists this ribosomal RNA (253 nucleotides) under uncultured bacterium. Its description in RNAcentral is "partial 16S ribosomal RNA". It matches the Rfam family "Bacterial small subunit ribosomal RNA", at positions 524 to 776 of the family's 1533-position model. The record is from RNAcentral.